This 2604-nucleotide long non-coding RNA is filed under the name Canis lupus familiaris (dog). Its description in RNAcentral is "lncRNA (ENSCAFG00000055045.1)". Lineage: Eukaryota; Metazoa; Chordata; Mammalia; Carnivora; Canidae. The record is from RNAcentral.
UUUUUUUUAUUUUUUUACUUAUUUAUUCAUGAGAGACACAGAGAGAGAGAGGCAGAGACGCAGGCAGAGGGAGAAGCAGGCUUCAUGCAGGGAGCCUGAUGUGGGACUCGAUCUUGGGUCUCUAGGAUCAGGCCCUGGGCCGAAGGCAGACGCUAAACCAUUGAGCCACCCAGGCUGCCCUAUAAAUCUUUAAAAAAAAAAGUUAAAUCCAGUUCUGAAUUUAGUAGUAUCCCAGCACACUCUCAAGCUUUUACUACAUAUGCAUAUAUUCCUAUCUAAGACAUAAGGUUUUGUAUAUUUCCAAAUAUAAAGUAUAUUUCUUAAUAUAAAGGCUUUAGGGAUGCCUGACUGGUUGGGUCAGUGGAGUGUGCAACUCUUGAUCUUGAGAUUGUGAGUUGAGUCCCACGAUGGAUGUAGAGAUGACUUUAUUUUUUUUUAAGAUUUUAUUUAUUUAUUCAUAGAGACAGAGAGAGAGAGGCAGAGGGAGAAGCAGGCAUCACACAGAGAGCCUGAUGUGGGACUCAAUUCAGGAUCUCCAGGAUCACGUCCUGGGCUGUAGGUGGCACUAAAUCGCUGUGCCACCGGGGCUGCCCAAGAUGACUUUAAAAAGUAAAAUCUUUAGGGGAUCUCUGGGUGGCUCAGCAGUUUAGCGCCUGCCUUCAGCCCAAGGCAUGAUCCCGGGGUUCCAGGAUCAAAUCCCACAUGGGGCUCCCUGCAUGGAGCUUGCUUCUCCCUCUGCCUGUGUCUCUGCCUCUCUCUCUCUCUCCCCCUCUGUGUCUCUUGUGAAUAAAUACAAUCUUUAAAAGUAAAUAAAUAAAAUAUUUAUAAAAUAUAUGUAAAGGCUUUAUAAUCUGUACAAUUUUCUGCACCUUUAUCCAGGCUGUGUUUUGAUUUCACCUAAUUUUAUGUUAAUGUUGUUCCUCUAGUUCAUCAUUAUCUACUGAUGAGUGGCAUUCUCCUGUAAGCCACAAUUCAUUUCUCCAUUUUCCUGAUGAUUGACAUUGGGGUUGUUAACAGUUUUCUAAUAUUACAAACAAUGCUGCAUAUAUGAACAGAAGUUCUUGAGCAUGGGAUUAAGAGUUCCUCUUUAAAAAAAAAAAAGAUUUUGGGAUCCCUGGGUGGCUCCAUGGUUUAGCGUCUGCCUUUGGCCCAGGGCGCGAUCCUGGAGUCCCGGGAUCGAGUCCCACGUUGGGCUCCCGGCAUGGAGCCUGCUUCUCCCUCCUCCUGUGUCUCUGCCUCUCUCUAUCAUAAAUAAAUAAAUCUUAAAAAAAUAAAAAUAAAAAGAUUUUAUUUAUUUGAGAGAGAGAAAGAUAUAGCAGGAGCAGAGGGAGAGGGAGAAGCAGACUCCCUGAUGAGCAGGGAGCCCAAUGCAGGGACUCUGGGAUCAUGACCUGAGUGGAAGGCAGAUGCCUAACUGACUGACCCACACAGGUGCCCCAAGAGUUGUUGUUGUUGUUGUUGUUCUUCUUCUUCUUUUUUAAGACUUUAUUGACUUCUUUAUAUAUCUGGAAUACUAAUGCUUUUUUGGUCAUAUGCUUGUGGACAACUUCUCCACAGCUACUUGGUAGCUCUUAGUCUCACCUUUUUAUGGUAUCUUUUAACAUAGAUUUUUAAUUUUAUAAUUAUUUUUUAAGUAGGCUCCAUGCCCAACAUGGGGCUUGAAUUCAUGACCCUGAGGCCAAGAGUCUCAUGUUCUAACAGUGAGCCAGCCAGGCACCACUAGAUUUUUAUUUUUAAUGAUGUUAAAUUUUCAUAAGAAACCUCAUGUUUUGGGACACCUAGGUGGCUCAGCGGUUGAACAUCUGCUUUUGGCUCAGGAUGUGAUCUCACAGGGACUGGGAUCGAGUUCCACAUCAGGCUCCUUGUGGGGGGUGGCCUGCUUCUCCGCAUUCCUGUGUCUCUGCCUCUCUUUCUGUGUCUCUCAUGAAUAAAUAAAAUCUUAAAAAAAAUUUAAAAAAACCUUAUGUUUUAUCCUUCUUUAUCCUGAGGUUAUCAUAGAGGCCGUUUUUAGGCAACCAAUUUGAGCAAUAGAUACCUAAGUAAGGUAGAAGGACACACAGUGAUCACCUACCAGCUGGCUGAAUAUAAGCAGGCCCAUUAGGUGACCCACUUCAAAAUAUUCAGGCAGCCCAGGUGGCUCAGCGGUUUAGUGCUGCCUUUGGCACAGGGCCUGAUCCUGGGGAUCAAAUCCCAUGUUGUGCUCCCCGCAUGGAGCCUGCUUCUCCCUCUGCCUGUGUCUCUGCCUCUCUCUCUCUAAAUAAAUAAAAUAUUUAAAAAAUAUAUCCAUAAGCCCUGGCUAGACAGCUAUUUGAGAGGAGAAAAAAUAGCCUUUUUUGAAAAAAAGAAAUCUAUUUAAAUAAAAUAUUAGCAACCGAAGCCAACAAUGUGUUAAUAGCAACAAUUACAAAACUAUGAGCUAGUUGUGUUUAUCCUAAGAUUUAAAGGACUAAUCACUCUUAGAAAGUCUAUUGAUGUAAUUGAGCUCAUAAACAGUUAAGUAGAAUGCCUAUGAUUAUCUCAACAGGUGCAGAAAAAAAUGCAAUUAGCAACUGCUAAUAUUUUAUUGUUUUUCCUUAAAACUGCACAAUGUUGUUGUGUUUUUUU